AACGAACGCUGGCGGCAGGCUUAACACAUGCAAGUCGAGCGCCCCGCAAGGGGAGCGGCAGACGGGUGAGUAACGCGUGGGAACGUACCUUUUGGUUCGGAACAACUCCGGGAAACUGGAGCUAAUACCGGAUAAGCCCUAACGGGGAAAGAUUUAUCGCCGAAAGAUCGGCCCGCGUCUGAUUAGCUAGUUGGUGAGGUAACGGCUCACCAAGGCGACGAUCAGUAGCUGGCCUGAGAGGAUGAUCAGCCACACUGGGACUGAGACACGGCCCAGACUCCUACGGGAAGCAGCAGUGGGGAAUAUUGGACAAUGGGCGCAAGCCUGAUCCAGCCAUGCCGCGUGAGUGAUGAAGGCCUUAGGGUUGUAAAGCUCUUUUGUCCGGGAAGAUAAUGACUGUACCGGAAGAAUAAGCCCCGGCUAACUUCGUG
This 431-nucleotide ribosomal RNA is filed under the name uncultured bacterium. RNAcentral's name for it is "partial 16S ribosomal RNA". It matches the Rfam family "Bacterial small subunit ribosomal RNA", at positions 29 to 507 of the family's 1533-position model. The record is from RNAcentral.